RNAcentral lists this unclassified non-coding RNA (253 nucleotides) under uncultured Lachnospiraceae bacterium. RNAcentral describes it as "contains 16S-23S intergenic spacer region". It matches the Rfam family "Bacterial small subunit ribosomal RNA", at positions 524 to 776 of the family's 1533-position model. The record is from RNAcentral. Lineage: Bacteria; Bacillati; Bacillota; Clostridia; Lachnospirales; Lachnospiraceae.
UACGUAUGGAGCAAGCGUUAUCCGGAUUUACUGGGUGUAAAGGGUGCGUAGGCGGCGUUCCAAGUCAGAUGUGAAAUGCCGGGGCUUAACCCCGGAGCUGCAUUUGAAACUGGGGCGCUGGAGUUCAGGAGGGGCAGGCGGAAUUCCUGGUGUAGCGGUGAAAUGCGUAGAUAUCAGGAGGAACACCGGUGGCGAAGGCGGCCUGCUGGACUGACACUGACGCUGAGGCACGAAAGCGUGGGGAGCAAACAGG